GAGUGCGAUCAUACAAGCAAUAAUGUAUCGGAUUCCAUCAGAACUCUGAAGUUAAAGUUGUUUGAGAGAGAGCAGUACUAGAAUUAAUGACCUCCUGUGAAGUCCUCGUGUUGCACCCCUC
This 121-nucleotide ribosomal RNA is filed under the name Rosa chinensis. Lineage: Eukaryota; Viridiplantae; Streptophyta; Magnoliopsida; Rosales; Rosaceae. The record is from RNAcentral.